CCCCUUAUGGGUAGGGCUUCACACGUCAUACAAUGGUCGGUACAGAGGGUUGCCAAGCCGCGAGGCGGAGCCAAUCCCACAAAGCCGAUCGUAGUCCGGAUUGUUCUCUGCAACUCGAGAGCAUGAAGUCGGAAUCGCUAGUAAUCGCAGGUCAGCAUACUGCGGUGAAUACGUUCCCGGGUCUU
This 185-nucleotide ribosomal RNA is filed under the name uncultured Thiobacillus sp. RNAcentral describes it as "partial 16S ribosomal RNA". It matches the Rfam family "Bacterial small subunit ribosomal RNA", at positions 1198 to 1382 of the family's 1533-position model. Lineage: Bacteria; Pseudomonadati; Pseudomonadota; Betaproteobacteria; Nitrosomonadales; Thiobacillaceae. The record is from RNAcentral.